Molecule: ribosomal RNA, 506 nt
Filed under: uncultured bacterium
Lineage: Bacteria
Description: partial 16S ribosomal RNA
Rfam family: Bacterial small subunit ribosomal RNA
Source: RNAcentral
AUUGAACGCUAACGGCAUGCUUAACACAUGCAAGUCGAACGGCAGCACAGUAGUAGCAAUACUAUGGGUGGCGAGUGGCGGACGGGUGAGUAAUACAUAGGAAUCUGCCUUAUAGUGGGGGAUAACCCGGGGAAACUCGGGCUAAUACCGCAUAAUCUCUACGGAGCAAGGUGUGGGACCUUCGGGCCAUACGCUAAAAGAUGAGCCUAUGUCGGAUUAGCUAGUUGGUGGGGUAAAGGCCUACCAAGGCAACGAUCCGUAGCUGGUCUGAGAGGAUGAUCAGCCACACUGGGACUGAGACACGGCCCAGACUCCUACGGGAGGCAGCAGUGGGGAAUAUUGGACAAUGGGCGAAAGCCUGAUCCAGCAAUGCCGUGUGUGUGAAGAAGGCCUUCGGGUUGUAAAGCACUUUUAGUUGGGAAGAAAAGUUCAUGGCUAAUAUCCAUGAAUGCUGACGUUACCAACAGAAAAAGCACUGGCUAACUCUGUGCCAGCAGCCGCCGUAA